Non-coding RNA from Meleagris gallopavo (turkey), 12914 nucleotides. Lineage: Eukaryota; Metazoa; Chordata; Aves; Galliformes; Phasianidae. The record is from RefSeq and is a predicted model, not a curated record.
UGGUGUAGUCUGCAAACUUGCUGAGGGUGCACUCAAUCACUUUUAAGAUAUUUAAGGAAACUUUUAGAUUGCAGCUUGAACUGGUGAUUGAGCAUCUGGUGAAGGGGUGUGGCUGGCCCAGGGAGCACAGGCACAAUGUUUGCACCUAUGCUCCCCAUGUGACCCAGAGGGGUGGAUGCAGGAUGGAGCCAGCGCAGGCUCAGAUAAGGGCCAGCCACUGAAGAGAGAGUACCUUUUGGACCUAGACUGCUUCUUGAGAAGGAGUGCUGCGUAGCUAGAGAUUUUCUUCAUCAGUUGGCAGGUUGGUACUUCAGCAUUGCCCGCAACAUCUGUGAUCAAACUGCAGUUUUCAUUUGCAGAUUGCUGAGAAAGCCAUUAGUAUGCCUCAUCUACUGGAUUACAUAUCUGCUGCCAAGGCUGGAGGAAUCUGAAUUACAACAGGGAAGGCAAUUGAUUGGCGUUUGCAGAAGAGGCAGCUUGUCAGAAUGCUUACGUGAGUACUGCUUGUUCUCCAGCAUGCUAAUGACAGCUGUGACACAGCCUUUCCAGGCCAUGAGAAACCAGCCACAGCGUGCAAGUGACGCACUGACAGUGGUUUUUGAUGGAAAGAAAUAGGUCUUGUAACUUCCAUUCUCUCCUAUUUGCUACAUGUGUGCAAAUUCUAGCACUGACGACUACUGCUGACUGAUGAGCAGCUCAGAGCUGCAUUGGGAAUAAGAAAUCACAGUUUUACCAGAAGUCAGUUGAAGACACAAGUGAAAAAACAAACUGAAGCAGCUGCCACUCCAAAAUCAACAAGAUAUAAGAAAGCAUGUCUUACACAGAGAGUCUGGCAAACCUUCCGAGCUCUUGGAAUGCUUUCUAGUUGUGUUUAAAAGAUGGCCUUCCAGCCAUCUCCAGCACCACAGCUGAUUUCACACUUCAUGCAGCGUCCACCCAUGGUUUUCAGGGCUUAAACAAUGAAACCCAAUGGAAAUUAGGAAGAGCAAGCCCUGUUGUUGGGCCUAAAGCACACUGUGAAAAGCUCUGCUGCCUGUGCAGGGUGCAAUCUAGGAAGGUCUCUGACAUCAGAAGAGUGACGCAAGUGGCAGAUCCAUCUCCACGGCCUGCACAUGACAGACCCUCUGAUGAGAAAGGUGACCCAGAGGAAAAAAAAGGUGAGGAAAAAUCUCGAUAUCUGGUACUUUGCUACGCCAGAAUUGUGGCGUCUGAGUAGCUUGUAAGAAACUGGAGGAUCUCAAGUUGAAGCUCGAUGGUUCAGAUAGGCACUGCAGAGUCCCUAGAUACUUUCCUAGAUGCUUGGGGUAGUGUGUAGCUUCAGCAACAGCAUGUGAUUUCUACUUUGGACAAAGAUGUACUGGGGAAAUGCAAAGGGAGAAGAAGGUGAGGACAUGAUGUAUACUUGAAUAGAGUAAGGCAAGGAGCAAUAUGUAGUUCUUUGGUGGAUUUCAGCCCGCUUGUUGCUAUCAGUAAGUUCUGUCUACAGAGUGUUACUUGGAUAGUUGGGGUCUGAAGGAGGUUGAAUGUCUCAAUCCGCUGCUGCAGCCUGUGGCAAGGUUUGGAAAACAUUUUAAGUGCUUUUUGCUUUUGCUAUUAGCAGUGAAAUGGGCAAAUAUUCCAUGUCGCCAACUGAAAGAAAAGGUUAUUUAUUGAAGAGCUUGGGGGGGAAAAAAAAAGUCUAAUGAACUGGAAAUCCUGCUGUUUAACCUGUUCUGAUGGUAAGCUUAACACUGUAUCAAUUGCUGUCAACACAGCAACUGUCACUUUUUUUGGAAGUUUGCAUCUUUUAAAUGCAUAUUUUCAAUCAGCACUUCAGACUUCAGAGCUGUCACUACCUUCACAUGCCGCUGCUGCAAUCGCAAGUCAUUGCUUAUCAGACUAUUUGUUAGUGUGAACUUCUGCCCAAAGUGUCAAUGCAGGCAGUUGUAAGCCUUAAUAAAAUAGUUUUGCAUGUGUGUGUGCACAUCUGUGUACAUUUGUGCCAGAGGAGAGGAGAGAGGAGAUAAAACUGCACUUUUCAAUGCUCAAGAGAAAAGCUGUUAGGAUUACACAAUGAGGACAAAACAGCACUAAGUUUACAAGUCUUCACAUUAAAAAAUGACAAACAAGUGGGGGGAAGAAAAAUACCGAGCCUGAAACUUGCAGGUAAUUUGGAUUUGUGCAUCUUGACAUCCUUUGGUAGCAAGUAGACAGCAGAAGUUAGGAAAACUCCCACAAAGCACAAAGAUCUUUGUGAAAAACAAAAAUAAGGAUUUGAAUUUAGUGUGUUGUUGACAGAGAAACCUGUUCGUGCAUAUCUGAGUACCAUCAGCAGAUGAACAUUUUGGCUUAAAAGUUGUCAAACAGUAACUAACAAUCCAGGCGGUCUGAAAUUGUGUGAUGUCUCCAACAUCUGUCAGUAGUACUUCUCACUGAAAUCUAAAGAUGUUGGGAAAGUCUGAAUUUCUGACUGAAAAUAGCAAGUGUGAACGAAUGUGAAGAGCCAUUAUUUAUCCCAUAUAGAGAAGACUGCCGUUCUUGUUCUUGGAAGAUAGAUCAUCCUGUUACAAAGGUCUGGUUUGUGAAUAUUUAGCCAAGAUAGGAGACUACUAGUCCUUACUUGUCCAAGGUGGAUAGCGUUUAACUAAAAAAAUCAGUUCACUCGACUAAUUGUAUUUUGCUUGAAGAAAUUUAUUUUUUAUUUUUUGUGAGAAGGUAAUAAUAAAUGGUAUUGUUGUUUUUGAUCUAUUGUGAAGCAUUUUAAGUAAUUUAAAAGUAUUAUAUUAAAAAACUUAAAGUUUAAUUGCUAAACAGUGUUUCAAUCUUAUAUCCUUUCAUCUUUGCGAGAUAAAUUCUAAAUUAACGAGUGUCUUUUUUCUUAGAAUACUUUUUCUUUUUUUAGUAGUAUUUUGUUAAAUUCUAGUAAAUGGAUUUGUCUCUCGAUGACCUGCUUUCAUUUCGAGUCAUUUGUCUUCCGUUUGAUUGCCAAUGACUUCCAUAUUAAUAUGGUAAAGAAACAAGCAAAAUUGUAUGCCUCACUAUUGGUGUCAUGGCAUAUCUGUUGUGCAUGAUUGUAAUUACAUACACCAGCAGCCGAUUCUCUGUGAUGCUGUGUGUAGUGAACAGUGAACCUGGAUGCAGGGAAAAUCAAACUUAUCUCUGACACAAGACUUUGCAUGAAUAUUUUUCCCGACAGCAAAAACGAAACUUAAAAAAGGCAACUGCAUAAUAAUGCAUACACCUAACAUAGCCUACUGUCAGAGUAGGCCUGCCAGUUUUAUGGAGAAAGAGAAGGAUAUGGGAUCUAAUAUGAGUCAGUAAAUCUAAGCUAAGUAAAGUUUGUCAUUCACUGACAACUUAAUACAGUCCACGGCAAUUUUGUUGUUAUUGUUUAAUACAAUGGAAGGAGAGAACUGAAAAUAAUUGUAUGUUUCCUCCGUUAAAUAAAGUAAGUUUCUUCUGACUUGAAACUAUUUGCUAAGGUGUUCAAGGCAUCUUCUUCAGCUUUCACUACAUUCACAGCUAAUUCCUUCUCUAGGUUUUUAAUAUAUUUUCUGGAUUUCAUUAUAUCGUGGGAGUGAUCAUUUAGUCCUGCAGAUUUAAAAAUAACCUUUUUGUUUGUAGGUAUUGAUGCUAAGUAAGUUUUCAUUUUAUUUUCCUUUGCCUUAUAAACACUUUGAUUUUCUUCCCAUCUUCUCCCAUGCACAAAAAUUAGAAGCAUUAGAAAAAUCACAUUCCAGAAGUGAGACUGUCUUGAUGCUGAUCUUUUUCCUAAAUGUGAAAUCACACGCAUACAGCACAGCAGCAGUUCCCUUGUUUUUGUGCGCUCUAAGUGGUUUGAACACUUUGAAUUCCUCAGGCAGGAUUAUGGCACAAUUUAAAUGAGCGUUUCACAGUCACUGUGUUUGUUGCGAGUCUUCAGGAGAAUGUGUGUAAUUCCAAAAGCUUUUGAAAAGAAGGCUAUAUCAGUCUAUAACAUUCUGGACAACUAUUUGUUUUAUGUAUAUGUACCUUCUUGGGUUUUUUAUGAAUCUACAUCAACUGCCAUUGCAAUCAGUGUGAUUGUAACACAGCUAGAUGAGAAAGGAAUAAGGAGAACAAUCAGUAAUGCAAUCUAGCGGAUCUUUUUUCAUGAGAGUAGUCUCAAGGAAAUGAUGGAUUUUAAUGCCGAUCCUUCCAUUAACAGUAAUUUUGCAGACGAUGCUCUGUUUGCGUCUUGACUGUUGGGUUUUAAUGAAUAAACAAAAUUCAUUUAGCUCUCUCAGUACUCCGAUUCCAGCCUUCCCAGCCAGUGCGUAGCUUUGGCCCAUGCGUUUGAAAUGAAAUAGAAAAAUAUGUUCCUGUUUAUUUCUUUCAGCUUCUUUAGUAGGUAAAUUUUAAUUACAUCAGGACAAGAUAUCUCAUAUUCUGUUUUAAAACUAUUGAGUUUUUGUUUUAUCCAAUCCAAAGCAACUUUAUCUCUAACUCCUGUAGAGCACCACUGGCUCGAUGGCAAUACAUAAUAGAAAAAUUAGGACAGCAAUAUUUAAUAUUCAGUAGAAAACCCAUUACACGUGAUCCCUUUUAAUUAUUAUCCCACAAUGAAUAAGAUUCAAGAGUAAAUAAUCUCAUUGGAAUUUAAUUUUUAAAUUAAAAAUUAACAAUUUUUUUGUUCUAUGCAUGAAAUGUAAAAAUAGAUUUCAGUGAUCUACAUGCUAAACUCUCAGUGACGGGGUGAAAAUGUCCAUUAAAUGUUUUGUAUGGUUAAUCCUUCCUUACUCUUAGUCCGUGUUUUACUUGGAAGUGCAAAAUACACAAUGGAUCAUCUUGAAAUCUGUGCAGAAGUUGAUGAAAUGAUCUCCACUCUUCUCUUAUUACUUGGAAGUGUUCUGGACUCUGGCAGGGAAGGCCUGUGACUGACAGAAAGAAAAUAGAGGAAAUGUGGUCAUGCUGGCCGGGCUUCCAACCUCUGACAGAAGCAGGCUGUUGCAGUCAUGCUGUGUGGAGCCCGAAGAUGGCCUCGAUGAGCCUUAUGAGUCUCUUCCAACUUGGGACAGUCUGUAACUCUGCUGUUGUCUUGCAGGUUGUUUUAAAGAAUGGUGAGAUGAAAGAACAAAUGUUGAAGUUUUACUUUCUCUUAUGGUAACUUACAGUAAUAUUUGCAGUCUUCUGAGUCUUUUUUAAUGUGUUGUUCAAUUAUUCUUUUGCGUGUGCUGUGGUGUGAGAAUGCCAUUGCAGCGUCUCGAGAAGGGCCCGUACUUCUCUCAGGUUCAUUUUCUUGCCCACGAUUCUGCUACUAUCUUGCAGGAUAACACAAGCCCUUCUGAAAGCUUAUGCGUUCUUUGCUGAUUAAUGGCAAUCACCAAAGAUUUGUAUAUGAGUGGAUUAUUUUUAAUAUUUGAGUUAACGUCCCUUUCAAACAUUGUUAAUUAGGGCUGUUGAGUCUGAAACCAUUCACGUUUUCUCUGUUUUCUUCAAUUCAUUCCUAGUAAUGUCCGCAGCACUGAGCUGCCAGGGCUGUACAACUUGUUUCUUUAUGGAAGCUUUCGUAUAUUAGUUUACAGAAGGAAUUGGAGACAAUAAUCAUAAGUUACAUUGAAAAGGGUGAUUUCGUGGUGGGGCUUUACAAGCAAAACUGACACAGUGUUGGAAAGAAGAAGUGAAGGACUUCAGAUGGUAUAGCAUGUGUAAAGGCCUCUCUGCUUAGAGAGGAAGGAACACAAAGCACCAGUUAAAUACAGGACAUGGGUCUUCCUGACCUCUGUCCUUUUUCUUGUUUAGACAUGUUAUAUGUCUUUCAUGAUUUGUCUUCACUUUUUGAGUCCAGACUGUGCACCUUCUUUUAUUCGUUAUGUAAACAGAUGAUCCUCUCCCAUGUUGCUUGCUUUCAUGUGAAGAGAACGGAGGGAGGCAUCUUCCUCAGUACAAACAGGCUGGUACAAUCCCUCUGCAACACAGAGAUGUCUGCUAAGGAAACACCUGUCACCACUGAAAUUGAUGGGGAUUUUGGCAUUUUGUUCUGGGGAAGUGGGGGUGACUGUAUUGUGGUUUGGCUGAGAAGUUAAUGGGCAUCCUUAGCCAUCUAGGUCAUUAAUUCCUGUGGCUCAAGUUAAUGCUGUUCUGAAUAAGUGACAGAGUUCUUUAUUUAAGUGAUCCAGUGAGCAAAGUAUAAAUGUUACUCAGAGGUUCACACAGGGAUAAUAUUCCUCUUGUGUUGGACACGAAGAGAAAUUCUAUUUUGCAUAAAGCCAAAGCAUAGCUCCAAGUCUCCUUUGCUGGCCCAUCCACCUCCUCAUUCUGCUUUCCUAAUUUUUGUGCAUACUUUUAGCUAUUCAGUGCUCACUCAUACACAAACUGCUUAAUCUUCCUCCAAUUUAACUUGUAGUAUCUGCAUCUCUCACUUCUGUGCUGAUCACUCCUUCCAAUUUCCCAGCGUGCAUUUAGUAAUCAGAUAAACAGAUACAUUUCAUUUGGUGCUUACAGAAAGUCUAACACCUCUGACUUUUGUUAUCCACAAGAGACUUCUCGGGGGAUAUUUCAGUUUAUUCCUUUUAUUCAUUUGGUGAGCAUAAAGCUUUUGAAAGAUAAUGAAAUGGAAGAACUAGGACUACAAGUCUUCCAGUGCUAUGAUUGGUAAGAGCCAAGCACAUUUCAGUUAGUGCAGUCAAUAUAACUCAGUUUUACACCAAGUCUGUAAGAGCUGGUUGAGAUAUUACACAUGAGCUCAUGCAUUCACUGUGAUUCACUGCAAGGGACACAGCUGUUAUACAUCCAUAUCAGCACACAAUUUGCACUCUUUGUUAUCAUUGCCAGAGCAGUGGCAGUUGGAGGCAGAAUAUAACAUUCCUUUGAGAGGGCAUUUUAUUUUCCUCCCUCUUAUAAAAGCCUUCUGAUGAAUUCCCAUGCUAACUUAAAUUAGCAUUUCCUCUCAAUGACAGCAGAUCAUACUUCUAUUCCACCCAUAUAUUAGAACGGGCAUUGGCAUAUUUGCCCACCUUAGAGUUAGAGCAGCCUAAGUUAGAGAAGAAUAACAAAAACAAUGUUCAAAAUAGGUAGCGCUUCUUAAUACAUCCAAAUGAGAAAGACAAAGUUUGGAAUAUGAUGAGCGCACAGCAAAAAGAAAUAAACAAGAACACAAGAAAGAAAAUGAAUAUGACAACUGAAAUGACUUGAGACUUCAUGUGGGUUUUAAAGUAGCAGUACAGUUGUACAGUAACUUACAGUUACAACAAACCUACUAAAAAGGAACUGACAUGAUUUUUAUAAGCAUUUAAGCUUUGUGUUACUUUUCUUCCAAGUAAUCUAUUCCUCAUAAACGCUAUAAAUUUUCUGUGUACCCAACUUAUCUGCGCAAUGUACCAUGGCUUUCUGAAGGUCUAUCUAUACCUGUCUGAAAAAUUCAUAAGAUGGAUCAUAGAAUAGAUGCAGACAAUUCACCUCCAUGCAUCUAGCAUGGUGUCCAUCGCCCCCAGCUCUGCACGCCGCACAAGUUACAUUUAAGAACAAAUCAAUUCCGAUUGUGUCGACUUUCCUGUUAAACCAACUUCUGACUUUGUGCCCAUUAUGUUUGGCACCAUUAAAUUAGAAAAAUGAUGAAAUUUCAGAUUAAGGUAUUAACACAGGCAUCUUUUCUAAGUUUCUCUGGUAUUUUUAGGUUCAGCACUUAAAAGAAGAACUUACUUCCAAGCAUUUCAUCACGAAUUCUACAAAUAACUUUUAAAUACAAACAAUUUAAUUCAUCUAAACUGUCAUAAAUAGGAGAUGGCACUAAGUGCAUCAUCAUCUCAGUCACCGCACAUUCAAGUGCAAGCAGAUACCAACUGUCUCUCCCAAGAACGUUAAAACUCUCACGCAAUCAGACUGUGAUACUUAUGACAUCUGUGGGAUUUAGGUACUUCAAGGGUUAGAUGGUUUGCUGUAGACAGGAAUAAUAGAGACAAGGAAAUGUAACCCAAUUUCUGACUUAAUAAAUUAAAGAUAUGGUCCUACUGCAACAUCCUUUAUGUUAUCUAGCUGUGAGCAAUCAAGUUGUAUAUUUUCUGUAUCAGAACAGAGGCUGUCUUUGACAGCCCAUUAAUCACACCAACCACUAGCUGUCAAACAUUAGGUGACUGUUCGUUUGCAAGGCUAAAAAUUGCAUUUGUUAAUAUCUAAAUAAAUAUAUAAAUAUAAAUUAGGCUAUACCAUAUAGCCUUGUGCUCAUUGUUUAGAAGUGGUGGCUUCUAGGCAAUGACUAGUGUAACAUUAUGGCUUAUAAUAUUCCUUUCUCAAGAUUCACGUAAACCUUAAAUUAGUCUCCAGGGGAAUAAAAAUUAAAAAAUAAAGCAAAGUAACAAUGAGAAACACUGCUUUGAAAUACCUAAUUACAAGCAGUUUUUCUCUUGAAUAGCAAGCAGUGAAUUUAUGUGGUAUGUAAUUGUUACCUUGAAUGAUAGAUAGAAUUCUUGAAUAUUUUGAAGUAAAACUCAUUCUGACUUGACUCCGUAUUAUCCUUCAAAAUGAUGUUUUGUUUCCUGAUGUCAAGGAAAGUCUGUCCGUUAUCUGAAGGCUUCAUCCAAGACAUUUAAAAAAGGCUUUCUGGUUAAGGUAAAAUCUUUUCUGAAGUGUGGACAGAUCCCAAUGGACCUCGAUCAGUCAAACUGUAUGGAAGCCUCCUCCAUCUGUCUCCCUGGGGAUCGGGAAGAGCUCCAGCAGUCCCAUGGGUGCUGUCUUUUGAAGUGGUUCUCAGACAGCUGAAAAGAAGAAGCUGCAACUGCUAGGGAUAAAACACUGAAGACUGUACAUUGGUCAUCUGAUGUCAGACUGCAGACCCUGGCUUAUACCCUUAAAAUUCAUAAGUCAAGUUUAUCUUCAGCUGGGAGAGUACCAAGGCAGGCAAUCAUAGCUGCAUCUUGGAAACGCACACCAUGUGACCUGGACUACUACGCUGAUCCUUCUGCAUAGAAAUAAGUUAAAUAAAUAUGCAUUUGAACUUCAAGUUAUUCAUUCCUCCUUCCUGAAAGGGAAAGAUAUGGCUCAAAAAUAGGACUGAAAGGGUUCAGGUAUUAAUCUACUGCUUAGCCAAAAGAAAGUGCAACUCAAGAGAGAUACGUCACAUAAGCAGAAAUACUGAUUGGCAAAUCACAUUUGAAGACAACCCAGGAAAAUCACCAAAUAAAUAAAAAUACUCCUCCUUGCUCCAAAAGAGCUAGAAAAUAAUUUAAGCAUUUUUAGUUAUGGAAAAUUUAUACACAAAUACAUGUUUUAAUCUUCUGUGUACAGUUUAUGUGUAUGCUUUUGUAUAAACUUGAUUUGGGUUAAUAAGAAAGAUUUAGUAUGUAUAGAAUUUGAAAAAAUAUAUAUAAUAUAUAUAUAUUAAAAUUGCUACACCCAUCACCUUGGCACAACAUAUGGCAAUAUUUGGGGAAGGAAAAUGUAAUAUUGAGAAGCUUUGAUCCUUGAAAGAGUUUCUGAGGAAAAAAAUAAGUUUCUUGGCAGUGAAAAUUCAAGUCCCACAGUAUGAGUGAGUUCUGCAGAGUGCCUGAAAAUCAGAAGCUGCACACAAGAUAGACUGUGCAUUGACAUCUACCGUGUGCAGUGGGGAUCUCGCUGUUUUUCUUUGACCUAAUGUUGUCGCAGUUAAUAAAGAUACUAAGCAGAACCAUCAGUACCACUGCGGAAGGAUAACAUUUGUGCAUUAGUAACAAAAUUAAAUUGUAAGAUUUAACACUACAUGUAAGAUUAGACAGGAAUAGUUUGAAGUGGAAAAAAUAGUGUUCUUAUGCUAGUGCAAGGCAAGGUGAUAGUUAAAUAAGAUCAGGUAAUCUUAUAAUAAUAACACCCUACACAAGCUAUUACUUACUUGCUCCUGAUUCCUUCAGAUCUGGAUAGACAAACAUAUACCAACAAGCAGCUCAGGCUGUGGGUGUGCUUAAAUUGCUGUUUCAUUUCAAAAUUCAGGAUAAGUACUAUCAAACUGAGAAGAAAACCGCAAAAAAUACCUGGGCAAACACAUAAAGGAAAGGGGCUAUUUGAAAGUUUGCUUCAGGCUUUUGCAGUGAUGUCAUUUUCUCCAUUCAUCUAACUUCAUCCCGAAAUCUGAUAGUAAUUUGUAGUAAUUAAUUGUUUACAUUCCCUUUCCACAAUUCAUAGGCAUUUGACACUCUGACAAAUUAAUUUUUCUUCUUUUUUUUUUUUUUAAUUUUAGCAUGUUCUUCUACAAUAGAGAACUAAGUUAUUCUCUACCUUAGUAUUAAAUUUAAAAGGUGCUAUUAGUUUCUCAUCAAGAAAAUCAUCACUACUUACAUCAGUAAUUUCAACUGGCCUCUAAUACAUGAAAAUUAGUGCUAACAACUGGUAAAAUUCCACCAAAACUAAAAGGUUUUUGAUGUGCUGCUUUUCAAUUGUAAUAGCUUUUCCUGAAACACACAGUGCCCUUGACAACCAAGUAUGUCUAGGCUAAAUUCUGGUCAGAGAUGUUAUGGUGGCGAUUCAGAGGGAAUUAAUUUAAUGUAAAGGUUAUCAUAUUUUCCUUUUACUGAACAUGUAGGUGGCUGACUCUGCUCCACAUAACAUGCUCACACUAGGUGGCGAGGAGAUAAGAUUGAAAGUAUGCGUAGAGUUAAGUGAAAACAACCUAUGGCUGAUGUGAGAUAAUGAAAAGAAAGUAAUACUUGUUGCAAUACAAUUUGUACUAGAAGAGAAAGCCUGAUAUUUAUCUGAAAUACUUUAGUGGCAACACUAUUUUUUGCCUGGCUGUAACCUCUUAAGAGUAUAGAGUUUGGAUAAAUUUGAUAGCAGGUAGCCUAAUAAAGAAUUUCAAGUCCCUGUCCCUAAGUUCUUGCAGACAAGAUAAAAGAAGUAAAAGAGGUAAACCCAGUGAUUAAAGAGUCAAGCAGAAUUAUGUUGGGUUGUUUCUUUUUGGUUUGGGUUUUGUUUGUUUGUUUUCCCAAAAUAGCAAUAUUAAUAUUGUAAUCUAGUAUAUAAAUGUCAAGAACUUAUUCUUGUUAAGCUUCCAUUGAUCAUGGAGGAAGUGAUAUUUUUUUACUAUUUUUAAUGGGAAAAGACUUCCUGAACAGAGUUUCCCCAUUAAGCUCAGACAUUCACAAUGAACUCAGCUUACUUUGCAGGACAGAAAUAGACUACUUAAGUAUAGCACAUUUACAUGGGUGUGUACAGAGAUGCACAUACACACAAUUCCUUCAGAGAAUACCACUUUUCACUCCAAGUCUAUUUCUUGCAGAGGCCCAUUAUUUUUUGCUUAUGAAAUGUUAUGUUUCCAUGCAGUAAAAUGUAUUGCAGAGCCCUAGGCUGUCACUAUGCUGCUUCAGUGCAAGCAGCAUGACUUACUGUUGUGGACAAAAAAAGGCAACUUCCUGCACAUGCAUAAUAAAAGACUUAAAUGUUUUCCCAAUACUUGUUUAAAAUGUAUUACUUCUAAUUAAAAAAACAUCCUUCAGAUUUACUGCUAAAACUAAUGAUGUAAGAAACAAAGACAUCUUUCUUCCUGCUUUAGUAGUCUAGGCAGUGGGCCAGUGUGUAGCGCAAGAUGUAUCUACAUUUUUAUUUUUAUUUUUUUUUAAGUGGGGGGGCAGUUUAUAGAAUGAUAUUUAAAUAAACUAUAUUUUUCCUCAAAUGGCUUAUUGAUAGUGGCGUCACCUUGUACUAUCCUUGGAUUCUAGCUGCUUACCAUUUUUCUGCUGUGCCUAUAACUUCAGUCUGUGACUACACUAAGAUGCAUCGAACCAUGACAUGCAAUUAUCCAAGCCCCACCAUUCCAAUCCCCACCAUUCUAAAUUAAGAUGUUUUCAGGGACUGACCUUUAUCCAGUACAUCCCUCUCUCUGACAGCUCAGGUCACCAUUCCUGGUGGGAUUCUCUAUCACCUUUUUCACCUCCCCAGUUAUCAGCGUUAUAACCUUUAUCCAAAAAACUGUAGGCACAUUAUCAUCCAUCUGCAUUCAUGCCAUGUGGUCCUGCUCCUCCAUCACCAUGUUCAAAAGUUGGUUUACAAUUACGAAGCCAGUUUUAUCUUUUAUUUGUUGAGGAAUUUGAUGCUGUUAUACCUUUUAAUUACUGAGGCUUAAUGCUUUGUAAUCUACCAAGCUGUGUUUACAAACCAGUUCUUGGAUACUAAAAAGAUUAAAUAGAGCAGCAGGCCCACAGCUUUUGAAAAGAAGGCAUUUCUACAGUCAGCCUGCUAUUUUACCAGUGUCUGAACAUUCUCCUGUGAUGAAUAUAAAAAGAGGUCAUACAGCUGUGAAGACUUCUCUCCUCAUGUCAGAGGCAAAAAUUUAGGGAAAGAGAAAAAUGUUUUCUGUGUACAGAAAUGAGAGACAAGAAUGGCACUAUUCUUCAACGCCUUAACACAAGAUGGGACAGAACCACAGCUAAUAAGUAUCUGUUAGCAAAUAGCUUACAAUUAUUCACAUUCACAGUGCAAAACAAUCACUAAAGUUAGCAGUGUGGAUAAGAACUGUGGGAAAAUAGAGGUUAUUCACUUCUAAUUUGAGCAAUAUAAUGAGUAUCUAGCUCCUCAAAUCCACCCAGUAAGUGAAUUUAUACACUGUUUAUCAUUAGACCACUCAUUAACAAGAUAAUAAUUAACUUUGUGUAAAAAGUUCCACAGUCUGAGGCUCUAUAAUAAUUAAUAUAUUAGGAGGUCUUACAUGGUCAUUAGUCCUGAGUUACACAGUAUGAAUGUCACUUGACUUUUGUAACAACUAAACCUACCAUUUCACCAACCAGACAAGAUUCAAGUUCCUCAAUCAAGACUUGCAGAAUAGCUGUACAACAUUUGUUCUGAAAGGACUUCAAAAUGUGCUAUGGAUUUGCUUGCUUUCUCCCCUCCCCCUCAAUGUCUGCAUAUUUUUUACUUCCUUUGGGCUCAUUAUUUUCUUCUGUUUCAAAGCAGUCUCAACUUUCUCAUUCUUGCCAUAAUUUUUUUUUCCAUUCUGUCAGAGGGAAGUAUUUUCCAUA